Lepidothrix coronata (blue-crowned manakin) is the source of this 2585-nucleotide long non-coding RNA. RefSeq lists it as uncharacterized. The transcript is spliced from 3 exons. Lineage: Eukaryota; Metazoa; Chordata; Aves; Passeriformes; Pipridae. The record is from RefSeq and is a predicted model, not a curated record.
AGUGGCUGACUUCUGGCUGAAAUCUGGAGCUGUUACAGAAAAAAGUUGCCAGGGUUUAUCUGUCUGUGGUUCAAAUGCAAGGUGAAGUGGGUGAAUAUCAGACAGCUCAUUAUAGAGACAAGCAUGCUGCAUUCCCAAAGUAGGAUGACAGAACAAGUCAUGGAGUCAUGGAUGUUAAAGGAGACAUUAAUCAGGUGUUGUGAAUGAUCUGAUACCAGCUUUGGUCAAAGGGGUCGAGUGUCAUCCUGAGAGUGCUCCUCUCUGGGACAGGAAACCGACGGAGCAAAGCCCUGAGAACAUGCUGCAACACUUCAUACUCAAUCCACAGCCCUAUAAAGAGAUGAAAAAUGAGCCUUGUCCAAAGCUCUUACCUCAGCACCCAGUGGCAAAAAUAAAAUGUGGGCUUGGGACCAGGUCUCUUUGAAGCUGGUUUUUUUAUUUUUUUUUAAAACUCUGCAACAGGCCUCCGGUGGUUACAGGUAUUGAUCGACAGAAAGUAAUCUGUUCAUGUUUGGGGGCAUGCCAGACCGAAUCCUGGAGUACAUUCCUUCCUCUCCAAGGACAUGUUGAGCUUUUUAUACUGUCCACACUGGCUCACUUGUCAGGCAUCUAACUUCUUUGUCUUUAGUGCUUUCCCUGUUUGUGGGAAGCAUAUAAUUAAACCUCCCUUAUAAAAAUAUUAUACAUUACUACUCUAGAAUUUUCUUCCAAUGCUGAAGGUUUUUUACUCUAGUUUUUAAACCCUCAUUUUUCUUGUAUAACCAUUAUUUGAUUCCCUCUGGCUGCCUACUACUUAUUUGUAGUAGUACCAUUCAUUCAUUGAGACUUUUCCAUCUGUCACACAGUUUUGCUUUCUCUCCCCAGAAGCUUUCUUCUCCUACUGUGCCAUGCUUGAUUUUUUGGGUCUAGUUGUAUGUUUGUAUGCUCUUUUUAGUAUUUUAAAAAAUGUUUUAGUAUUAAGAACAAAUACAAAAAGAAGAGAAAAAAGAAAGCAUAGCACAAGAGCAGCUCGAACCCAACAUUGCACACAGAGGCAGGAUGAGGAGACCGAGAUUCCAGGUGAAUUAAGGAAUCAACUGUUCUACUAGGGCAGAACUAGUGGCCAGACCCUGCUCUCCCUGUGUUGCCUUCAAAAUCUUUCCAGUUUUGUGUUAGAUAAAUAGGUGAUGUCAGGAAGUGUUGCAUUCCCUUUGCUGUACUGACUCUCGAUGUAUUGAUUAUAAAGACUAUCUGAGGAAAACCAAACAUACUGAGGUACAAUACUGUGAUUACUUAAGGAAAAGAAUCUUUUAAAGGGCCAAACAGUCCCUUACUGAAACAAGAUCAGAAUUCCAUCUUACAUUUAAAAUUAAAAGCCAUUUUCAUUUGCAGAGUUUAGGUAUUAAAGAAGUGCAGCAUUUGCUAGUGUGAUCUAAAUGGGAAGUGUGUCCAGCAUAUCUUAGUUUUUGAUGUGAGCAAGAAUAGGAGAUUUUACAAGUGCUCUACAGAUUUAACUUGCAAUUGAAUCAAAUCUCAAAUCAUGAGUCUUGGAGAACACCUCACAAAAUUACAUACUUCAAAUAAUAUGGUUUGAAUUUCUCCUUAUUAAUUUUCUCUUAUUUUCCUCUUACACUUCUCAUUGUAUCUUCUUGUGUUCUUGUUUCAAAAGUUCCUGCAGGUUUAUCAUGAUUAUUAGGAUUAGUAAAAAGUUUGUAUUUUGUUCUGGAAAAUCUUUUUUUUUUUCAGUAGAAAUGCUUUCAUUGUUUAUAAAAUUACUUCUCUGGCUAUAUAGAUAGUGAUGAUAGUAUCCAAGCAAAUAGAAAAGCUCUGUGUGUGUCCUGAUUUGAAUGGCAACCCUCAGAAAGUUUCCUUUUCUACCAGCUAUUUCAUUGCACUGUUCUGAGAAUGAAGGGGAUGGAAAAAAAAAAUCAGACUCUUCAGUAUACACUUGUGUAGGCAGAUGUCUGAAAAUGUAGGUAUUUUACAAAAAUCCUAUUUGUAAAGUGUUGUCCUAUGAAAGUAAGGGUCAUUCAGACCAAACUCUUACUUUACCUGAACUUUAUCAUGUUUUGAAAGGAAAAUAAAUAGUUUCUUUUCUGGGAUAAUUUAUAGGAAACAAAAUGAGUGAGAAGGGAAAAGGGGCAGGAAUGGGAGAGUGUAGUGGGGGAAAAAAAAGUGGUUUUCCCCUGGAGUUAAAAAAUGGUAACCCCCAAGGGGGGUGGUGUCAGAAGAUGUUGACCCAAUCAGUGCCCCUGCAAAAUUUAAACAUAUUACACCAGACCGGAAAAGAAGGAUGAUGAGGUAGUUGGAGGAAAAGUGGCCAUGUUUUGAGACCACAAGGAGAGAGACCCUGGCUGGGGUCGUAGAAACUCGGAAACAGUGUUAAACUGGACUGGGUUCUGUGACUGAAGAGCUGGAGGAGUCUUUCUCCACUGUGAGUGGGCAGCAGGAUUGGCGGCAGAGAAAGCACUGAGCAGAGAACUGUGGCCGAAGGCCAAAAGAGAUAAGAGGGAAGCAGCAAAGAUGGCAUGAAGCAAUGCAGAGAGAUAUUCUGCAAGGAGAGAGAGAGAGCUGGCAACAGAGCAGAGAAAGCUCAACCAAGACAG